UUUGGUUAAUUUUUGAUUGUUUUUGAGUUCUUGGGAUUUAGUGAAAUAUUAGCACUGGUUUGGCUUUUUGGGCUUUUUCUUUCUUGGAAUUUGGGUUGAGUUGAAGCUAACAGUUUGUAAGAUUUUGGGGAAUCGAAAAAUAAUUCUGGGUUAUUAUAUUUUGUCUAAUACAAUUACGUUUGGGAUUCAAAUUUGGGUCUGUUUUGGUUUUCUUCUGUGUUUUGUUAAAGAGUAAAAUAAUUUCUGGGUUACAAUGACUGUUUAGUUUCUUGAAUUCAGGUUUCUUGGUGGCGAAGAAAAGUUUUGGUUUUGGUGCGAUAUAUUUGAUUCUGAAAGUCUCAUAUUUGGCUUUCAUUGGGGAGUUUAUAAAUAUUUGUCUAGUUCUGUUUGUUGAUUGAAAGAAGGUGGUGGUUGUGACGAGUUACCGUAUAAAAUUGGGGAAGAUGGUUACAUUUGAUCAAGGUUCUAAUGUAAUUUCUAAGCCCUUGGCUUCUACAGGGAAGAGGAAGAGGCGGGAGGGCAAUAGCUCUGUUGCUGAGACUCUUCAAAAAUGGAAGGAGUACAAUAAAUAUCUUGAUUCUUGUACUAAUGGAGAUGAUAAACCGGUGCGUAAAAUUCCAGCUAAAGGCUCAAGGAAGGGAUGUAUGAAGGGCAAAGGAGGGCCUGAGAACUCGCAGUGUAUUUAUAGAGGUGUUAGACAAAGGAAAUGGGGUAAAUGGGUUGCGGAGAUUAGGGUACCAAAUAGAGGGCCUAGGCUUUGGCUUGGAACUUAUCCAACUGCCUCUGAAGCUGCUCAUGCAUAUGAUAACGCUGCACGGGCCAUGUAUGGUACUCUUGCCCGGCUGAAUUUUCCUGAAUUAUCAAAUUCAACAAGCUCAUCAAAGGAUUUCUGCUUGGCUGCAACCUCAUCUGGCUAUUCUUCUGUAGCAACUCCUGCAGGUUCAGACUCCACUACUACGUCCAAUCAUUCGGAAGUUUGUGCAGAUGAAGACACCAAAGAGCAUAUUGUAAAAAUUGGGGAUGGUGAAGGUGAAUCAAAAAUAAAACUUCAGCCUCCUGAAGUAAUUAAAUCUGUCUCAUCAUGUAUUAAACUGAAAAAAGAAGCAAAGGAGGAGCUGGAAUCCGUCUCACCAUGGAGUAAACUGAAACAAGAAGCUAAGGAGGAGCGGGAAGAUGUUACAGAGAGUGAAAGGAGUAGGAUGCCUGAGAUUAAAAUCCCAGAGAAAGACGAAAUUCAACAGAAUAAUAUUUGUGAGCAAAAACAGAAAGGUGUCUGUGAUAUCCAACAAGACCCAAAAGAUGAGUCUCUGAGUGUGAAGGAUUAUGGCUGGGGUAAUGGAUGUGAUGGGAUGGAUUACUUGCAAAAUUUCAAAAUUGAUGAGAUGUUUAGUGUUGAUGAACUACUGGGGGCCAUAGACAACAACCCGCUCAAUCUGGAUUUUGAUAGUGAUCAACUGUUGUUCACUGACAAUGAUCAUCUACUGCAUGAGCUGCCGCUUGAUUUGUCAUUCCAGUUGCAGAGCCCUGAUGCUAGGUUCAUUGGGGAUCAUCAGCAUAUACAGCAGGUGCCUUCAGGUGGCGAUUACAACUUCGAUUUCUUGAAUCCAGGCAGGCAGGAAGACAACAAUGUUCCAUUGGAUGAUCAAGGAUACUUCAGCUUGGGAUUGCCAGAUAGGUUUUGAUGAGGAGACAUGAAUAAGAGGGCAUUUUGCAGCCUGACGAUGACACUGUAUUAUCACUUGGAAAUAAACAAACAAAAUAAUAGUACUGUUUUGGUCUGAGACUACCCUUGUUGAUUCAGAAGGUCAGAAGACAAGGAGCAUUAGGGUGUGGUUUGCUGCUAUAUUAACAUGUUUUCUGCAUUACUGAAUUUGUUCUUUUAAACCUGACCCACAAAUGGCUGAUUCUCUGGAGUUUUUUUUUAUCAGAGAAAUUGGCCUUGAAACGUCUUUGUUUUCGCGAACCAACUUCAAGGUAGAGUUGGGGCUGGUUGUUAUCAUGCCUUGGGCAAAGCUUUUGUGAUAUUGAAGAAUUUAGUUUUGUUAGACAAAUUAUUUCUUGUAUAUGAAGAGUACUCGAUAAUCGUAUGUCAAUCGACUUUUAAAUGUUCAUGUUCAAUUCAUAUGUGGUCUCCUUUGUUAUUUUAAUUGUUCCAGUGGGUUCUGCAUAAUUGUGUAUGUAAACUUGUUAGUAAUUUUGAGUAGUAAACUCUCCCUAUUGGGGAUUGUUUUUGUUUCUGCAAUUCCCAUCCUGAGGUCUCUGCCAGCAAAUCUGCAAACCGAAA
Molecule: unclassified non-coding RNA, 2284 nt
Filed under: Hevea brasiliensis (rubber tree)
Lineage: Eukaryota; Viridiplantae; Streptophyta; Magnoliopsida; Malpighiales; Euphorbiaceae
Source: RNAcentral